Paramuricea clavata is the source of this 267-nucleotide non-coding RNA. Lineage: Eukaryota; Metazoa; Cnidaria; Anthozoa; Malacalcyonacea; Plexauridae. The record is from the annotation of a GenBank genome assembly.
UAAUAUGUCUGCAGGUUGUUGAAGAAGUUCGGAGGAGCCUCAAUCAACCUGAAGAAUCAGAAGAAAGCGCAUACAUGAGGAAUUGUGAAAAGUAUCAGCUGAUUGACCAAUUGGACCCACUUAUUAAUAUUUACUAUGGCAUUUCAAAAGGAGUUAUGAAGCCACCACAUGAACAGUAAUUAAAUCAUAUCAUUUUGGGUUUUUUUAUUAAUAAGAGUACUGGUACCAACAUUGGAUUCAUUAGCACCAGUGAGAGACAAAAGAGAG